RNAcentral lists this ribosomal RNA (253 nucleotides) under uncultured bacterium. RNAcentral's name for it is "partial 16S ribosomal RNA". It matches the Rfam family "Bacterial small subunit ribosomal RNA", at positions 524 to 776 of the family's 1533-position model. The record is from RNAcentral.
UACGUAGGGUGCGAGCGUUAAUCGGAAUUAUUGGGCGUAAAGGGCGCGUAGGCGGCUUUGCAAGUGACGGGUGAAAGCCCUCGGCUUAACCGAGGAACUGCCUGUCAGACUGUGAGGCUUGAGACCGGGAGAGGUGAGUGGAAUUCCCAGUGUAGCGGUGAAAUGCGUAGAUAUUGGGAGGAACACCAGUGGCGAAGGCGGCUCACUGGACCGGAACUGACGCUGAGGCGCGAAAGCGUGGGGAGCAAACAGG